Molecule: ribosomal RNA, 465 nt
Filed under: Vreelandella stevensii
Lineage: Bacteria; Pseudomonadati; Pseudomonadota; Gammaproteobacteria; Oceanospirillales; Halomonadaceae
Description: partial 16S ribosomal RNA
Rfam family: Bacterial small subunit ribosomal RNA
Source: RNAcentral
CCUACGGGAGGCAGCAGUGGGGAAUAUUGGACAAUGGGGGCAACCCUGAUCCAGCCAUGCCGCGUGUGUGAAGAAGGCCCUCGGGUUGUAAAGCACUUUCAGUGAGGAAGAACGCCUGGUGGUUAAUACCCAUCAGGAAAGACAUCACUCACAGAAGAAGCACCGGCUAACUCCGUGCCAGCAGCCGCGGUAAUACGGAGGGUGCGAGCGUUAAUCGGAAUUACUGGGCGUAAAGCGCGCGUAGGUGGCUUGAUAAGCCGGUUGUGAAAGCCCCGGGCUCAACCUGGGAACGGCAUCCGGAACUGUCAAGCUAGAGUGCAGGAGAGGAAGGUAGAAUUCCCGGUGUAGCGGUGAAAUGCGUAGAGAUCGGGAGGAAUACCAGUGGCGAAGGCGGCCUUCUGGACUGAAACUGACACUGAGGUGCGAAAGCGUGGGUAGCAAACAGGAUUAGAUACCCCUGUAGUC